GGCUGCAACUCGCCUACAUGAAGUCGGAAUCGCUAGUAAUCGCGGAUCAGCACGCCGCGGUGAAUACGUUCCCGGGCCUUGUACACACCGCCCGUCACACCACGAGAGUUUGUAACACCCGAAGUCGGUGAGGUAACCUAUUAGGAGCCAGCCCCCUAAGGUGGGAUAGAUGAUUGGGUGAAGUCGUAACAAGGUAGC
This 198-nucleotide ribosomal RNA is filed under the name uncultured bacterium. RNAcentral describes it as "partial 16S ribosomal RNA". It matches the Rfam family "Bacterial small subunit ribosomal RNA", at positions 1303 to 1500 of the family's 1533-position model. The record is from RNAcentral.